This 229-nucleotide long non-coding RNA is filed under the name Gorilla gorilla gorilla (western lowland gorilla). RNAcentral's name for it is "lncRNA (ENSGGOG00000044510.1)". The record is from RNAcentral. Lineage: Eukaryota; Metazoa; Chordata; Mammalia; Primates; Hominidae.
CAACUUCUUCCCAAGCUCGUACCAAUAUGGAAGCUUCACCAAGCAGUCAAAUUUUUCUGUGUGAUCUUUGGAAGAGAAACGUAAUAUUGCAAGUUGUGAGUUCAAAACAAUGUUCACAACACCUGUCAAGUUUCUCUCCUCUGGCUAGUUCUCAGCCAAGUUGUCACCCACUUGGAAGAGAGUGAAACUAAAAUAGUUUAUUACCAUCUACUGCGCUACUAAGUACUGG